RNAcentral lists this long non-coding RNA (694 nucleotides) under Olea europaea subsp. europaea. Lineage: Eukaryota; Viridiplantae; Streptophyta; Magnoliopsida; Lamiales; Oleaceae. The record is from RNAcentral.
CUUCUCGCCCUUUCAUGCCCCAUAGUUUGCUCUUGACUCGACCAACACCCUAUAAGAAACCCCUUCACAAUUCACAACUUCAUCUUCCCAUUGCAACAUUUUCUUCUCAAGGAAAAAAACCCACCAAAAAAAAAUAUAUAUUCCUUUUUCAAGAAAAUUUUCCUUAAUUUCAUCAAAAGAAUCAUCAGACAAUAUGAAGAUGAUGAGUGGAAUGAGCAUUGGAAACUCAAAGAGAAGAAUAUCUAGCAGAGGAAUUGGUGGGGUACUCAGAGAACAAAGAGCUAAGAUUUACAUUAUAAGAAGAUGUGUGGUUAUGCUUCUUUGCUGGCAUGAUUGAGUUCGAUCGAUCCUUCAGACGGCUAUGGCUCGAUUUGAGACAUUGGACGAAGACGAAAUAAUUUCAACUCACUACCGGAUUAGGCGUCAAGUCGAUUUUUUCCUCUCAUCUUUGCUGACAUGAUUAAGUUUGAUGACCUUCGCCGACCGUAGCUCGAUUCGAGACAUUGGACGAGGAUGUACAAUUUUAAUUCACCACCGGAAUAAGCAUAGAAGCAGCCUUUUUCACCCCCUCUCUUAUUAGAGUGUAUAUGUAUAGAGACGGCUGAUAUUAUAUUAUUUAAGUUAACAAUUACUUUGAUUCAUUCUUCUUUUUAUAUCUUCUCUCUAUUCAAUUUUCUUUUCAAUUCUGAUAUGG